GCCUUGAUGGUCUAGUAGCAUGAUACUCCCUUCGGGUAACGCCCGGUCCAUUGUGGGACUUCUUUGGGAGUGGUCCUGGGUUCAAUUCCCAGUCAAGGCC
This is a non-coding RNA of Favolaschia claudopus, 100 nucleotides long. The record is from the annotation of a GenBank genome assembly. NCBI's taxonomy places the organism in Eukaryota, Fungi, Basidiomycota, Agaricomycetes, Agaricales, Mycenaceae.